Molecule: ribosomal RNA, 640 nt
Filed under: uncultured bacterium
Lineage: Bacteria
Description: bacterial SSU rRNA
Rfam family: Bacterial small subunit ribosomal RNA
Source: RNAcentral
UUGGUGGGGUGAUGGCCUACCAAGGCGACGACGGGUAGCCGGCCUGAGAGGGUGUCCGGCCACACUGGGACUGAGAUACGGCCCAGACUCCUACGGGAGGCAGCAGUGGGGAAUAUUGCACAAUGGGCGCAAGCCUGAUGCAGCGACGCCGCGUGGGGGAUGACGGCCUUCGGGUUGUAAACCUCUUUCACCAUCGGCGAAGCCCGUAGCUUUUGUUGUGGGUGACGGUAGGUGGAGAAGAAGCACCGGCCAACUACGUGCCAGCAGCCGCGGUAAUACGUAGGGUGCGAGCGUUGUCCGGAAUUACUGGGCGUAAAGAGCUCGUAGGUGGUUUGUCGCGUUGUCCGUGAAAUUCCCUGGCUUAACUGGGGGCGUGCGGGCGAUACGGGCAGACUGGAGUACUGCAGGGGAGACUGGAAUUCCUGGUGUAGCGGUGGAAUGCGCAGAUAUCAGGAGGAACACCGGUGGCGAAGGCGGGUCUCUGGGCAGUAACUGACGCUGAGGAGCGAAAGCGUGGGGAGCGAACAGGAUUAGAUACCCUGGUAGUCCACGCCGUAAACGGUGGGUACUAGGUGUGGGUUUCCUUCCUUGGGAUCCGUGCCGUAGCUAACGCAUUAAGUACCCCGCCUGGGGAGUACGG